RNAcentral lists this ribosomal RNA (643 nucleotides) under uncultured Actinomycetes bacterium. RNAcentral describes it as "bacterial SSU rRNA". It matches the Rfam family "Bacterial small subunit ribosomal RNA", at positions 232 to 885 of the family's 1533-position model. Lineage: Bacteria; Bacillati; Actinomycetota; Actinomycetes. The record is from RNAcentral.
CGCGGCCUAUCAGCUUGUUGGUGGGGUAAUGGCCUACCAAGGCGACGACGGGUAGCCGGCCUGAGAGGGCGACCGGCCACACUGGGACUGAGACACGGCCCAGACUCCUACGGGAGGCAGCAGUGGGGAAUAUUGCACAAUGGGCGAAAGCCUGAUGCAGCGACGCCGCGUGAGGGAUGACGGCCUUCGGGUUGUAAACCUCUUUCAGCAGGGAAGAAGCGAAAGUGACGGUACCUGCAGAAGAAGCGCCGGCUAACUACGUGCUAGCAGCCGCGGUAAUACGUAGGGCGCAAGCGUUGUCCGGAAUUAUUGGGCGUAAAGAGCUCGUAGGCGGUUUGUCGCGUCUGUCGUGAAAGUCCGGGGCUCAACUCCGGAUCUGCGGUGGGUACGGGCAGACUAGAGUGUGGUAGGGGAGAUCGGAAUUCCUGGUGUAGCGGUGAAACGCGCAGAUAUCAGGAGGAACACCGGUGGCGAAGGCGGAUCUCUGGGCCAUUACUGACGCUGAGGAGCGAAAGCGUGGGGAGCGAACAGGAUUAGAUACCCUGGUAGUCCACGCCGUAAACGUUGGGAGCUAGGUGUUGGCGACAUUCCACGUCGUCGGUGCCGCAGCUAACGCAUUAAGUUCCCCGCCUGGGGAGUACGG